CCUACGGGAGGCAGCAGUGAGGAAUAUUGGUCAAUGGGCGCGAGCCUGAACCAGCCAAGUCGCGUGAGGGAAGACGGUCCUAUGGAUUGUAAACCUCUUUUGUCGGGGAGCAAAAGACGCCACGCGUGGCGUUCCGAGAGUACCCGAAGAAAAAGCAUCGGCUAACCCCGUGCCAGCAGCCGCGGUAAUACGGAGCAUGCGAGCGUUAUCCGGAUCUAUUGGGUUUAAAGGGUGCGCAGGCGGAAGAUCAAGUCAGCGGUAAAAUUGAGGGGCUCAACCUCUUCGAGCCGUUGAAACUGGUUUUCUUGAGUGAGUGAGAAGUAUGCGGAAUGCGAGGUGUAGCGGUGAAAUGCAUAGAUAUCACGCAGAACUCCGAUUGCGAAGGCAGCAUACCGGCGCUCAACUGACGCUGAUGCACGAAAGUGUGGGUAGCGAACAGGAUUAGAUACCCUUGUAGUC
Molecule: ribosomal RNA, 459 nt
Filed under: uncultured bacterium
Lineage: Bacteria
Description: partial 16S ribosomal RNA
Rfam family: Bacterial small subunit ribosomal RNA
Source: RNAcentral